Molecule: ribosomal RNA, 1857 nt
Filed under: Acanthopharynx micans
Lineage: Eukaryota; Metazoa; Nematoda; Chromadorea; Desmodorida; Desmodoridae
Description: SSU rRNA
Rfam family: Eukaryotic small subunit ribosomal RNA
Source: RNAcentral
GAAUUCGGCUUGACAACCUGGUUGAUCCUGCCAGUGGUCAUAUGCUUGUCUCAAAGAUUAAGCCAUGCAUGUCUAAGCAUGAGCCAAAUAAUGGUGAAGCCGCGAAUGGCUCAUUACAACAGCCGUUGUUUCUUGGAUCUUGUUUUACUUGGAUAACUGUGGUAAUUCUAGAGCUAAUACAUGCAACCAAGCUCUGACCUUACGGAAGGAGCGCAUUUAUUAGACCAAGACCAAUUAGGCUCCGGCCUAGUAUCUGGUGACUCUGAAUAACUUUGCUGAUCACACGGUCCUCGCACCGGUGACAUAUCUUUCAAGUGUCUGCCCUAUCAACUGUCGAUGGUAGUUUAUGUGCCUACCAUGGUCGUAACGGGUAACGGAGAAUAAGGGUUCGACUCCGGAGAGGGAGCCUGAGAAAUGGCUACCACAUCCAAGGAAGGCAGCUGGCGCGCAAAUUACCCACUCUCAGCUCGAGGAGGUAGUGACGAAAAAUAACGAGACGGUUCUCUUUGAGGCCCGUCAUCGGAAUGGGUACAAUCUAAACCCUUUAACGAGGAUCUAUUGGAGGGCAAGUCUGGUGCCAGCAGCCGCGGUAAUUCCAGCUCCAAUAGCAUAUACCAAUUCUGCUGCUGUUAAAAAGCUCGUAGUUGGAUCUUUCCUGAGGGCCCAGUCUGUCUAACGGACUAGUACUGGGUUCCGAGGGUUUUACCUUGCUGGUUGUCUCAUGGUGCCCUUCAUUGAGUGCCUUGGGUGGCUAGCACGUUUACUUUGAAAAAAUUAGAGUGCUCAAAACAGGCGUUACAGCCCGAAUAGUGGUGCAUGGAAUAAUGGAAUAGGACCUCGGUUCUAUUUUGUUGGUUUUAGGAGCGCGAGGUAAUGAUUAAGAGGGACAGACGGGGGCAUUCGUAUUGCGGCGUUAGAGGUGAAAUUCUUGGAUCGCCGCAAGACGAACAACUGCGAAAGCAUUUGCCAAGAAUGUUUUCAUUAAUCAAGAACGAAAGUUAGAGGUUCGAAGGCGAUCAGAUACCGCCCUAGUUCUAACCGUAAACGAUGCCAAUUAGCGAUCUGCUGGCGUUAAUCAUGACCCAGCAGGCAGCUUCCCGGAAACGAAAAUUUCUCGGUUCAGGGGGAAGUAUGGUUGCAAAGCUGAAACUUAAAGGAAUUGACGGAUGGGCACCACCAGAUGUGAGCCUGCGGCUUAAUUUGACUCAACACGGGAAAACUCACCCGGCCCGGACACUGUAAGGAUUGACAGAUUUAUAGCUCUUUCUUGAUUCAGUGGGUGGUGGUGCAUGGCCGUUCUUAGUUGGUGGAGUGAUUUGUCUGGUUAAUUCCGAUAACGAACGAGACUCUAGCCUGCUAAAUAGUCUGUGGAUCGCUUUGUCCACAGCACUUCUUAGAGGGACAAGCGGCAUAUAGCCGCACGAAAAUGAGCAAUAACAGGUCUGUGAUGCCCUUAGAUGUCCGGGGCUGCACGCGCGCUACACUGAAGGAAUCAAUAUGCCUUUUUCCUUGUCCGAAAGGACUGGGUAACCAUUUGAAACUCCUUCGUGCUUGGGAUAGGGAAUUGUAAUUAUUUCCCUUGAACGAGGAAUAUCCAGUAAGUGUGGGUCAUAAGCUCACGUUGAUUACGUCCCUGCCCAUUGUACACACCGCCCGUCGCUACUACAGACGGAGCGAUUUAUCAAGGUGGUUGGAGUGCAGAUUUACCGGGCUCUGGCCUAUUAUUUCAGCAUGAAAACUACCGCGGUGGAUCGCUUGGAUGAAGUAAAAGUCGUAACAAGGUUCUCGUAGGUGAACCUGCAGAAGGAUCAAGCUUGGAUCCCGGGAAGCCGAAUUCCAGCACACUGGCGGCCGUUA